Molecule: long non-coding RNA, 547 nt
Filed under: Equus asinus (donkey)
Lineage: Eukaryota; Metazoa; Chordata; Mammalia; Perissodactyla; Equidae
Description: lncRNA (ENSEASG00005033557.1)
Source: RNAcentral
CUCAAAUCCUGUGGGUCAGCAAUUCUGCCUGGUCUGGUCUCAGCUGGGUAGUUCUUCUGUUGUCUCACCUGAGGUCACAUAUGCAACUGUGAUCAGUUAGCGCCUCCGCUGGGAUGGACACUCCGAGGUGGCCUCACUUGCCCGUCUGGUGCCUCAGCUGGGAUGGCUGAAUGAUGCACUGCCAGGCCUCGCUCUUCACAGCAAGGGCAGCAUUCCAAAAGGACAAACUCCAAGGCAAUAGUCAUGUUGGCUGACACCCUAUGGGCCAAAGCAAGUCACAUGUCCAAGCUCAGGGUCAAGGUGGGAGCAGAGACAGGAGAAACUCUUCACCUACAGCCUAUAGCACCACCCCUUCCAGUCCUACAGCAACAACAUCUGGCCAGUUCUAAUCUCAGCUUCCCCGUGAAGCCUCUUUAGGUUGCUCCCGCCUUCACAGGAUGUUUUCAAUACACGAUCUACAUAGGCUGAGUAGUGAAGUUAUUAAUAAUCCCGUAGGCUUGAUGAGCUUCUUCAUAUCCAUCACCUCACUGAAUCCCUACAGGAGACC